Molecule: long non-coding RNA, 1911 nt
Organism: Pogona vitticeps (central bearded dragon)
Lineage: Eukaryota; Metazoa; Chordata; Lepidosauria; Squamata; Agamidae
Source: Ensembl
AAAUCGGUAAGCGAAACGCUUACCGAUCGUCACAAAGCGAAUUUUGGCCAUUUAGACCAUCGGUGUGCGAUCGCAUUAGCGAUCGCUAAAUCCACAUCGCUAUGCGGAUUCGUUAAACGGUGCGCUCGUUAUGCGAGGCACCACUGUACUCUUAACUAGGAUUAAAUACUGUUCAUCAGUACUACCCCGUUUCCCCUAAAAUAAGCCCUAACCUCAAAAUAAGCCCUAGUAUGAUUUUUCAGGAUGCUCGUAAUAUAAACCCUACCACAAAAAUAAGCCCGUUAAGUGAAACCCCGCCCUCUACCCUUGUGCAGCAACCAGAAGAUGACAUGACUGUAUUUGAAUAAAUAUAGAUUGUUGUACAUAAAAAAAAUCCCCUGAAAAUAAGCCCUUAUGCAUUUUUGGAGCAAAAAUUAAUAUAAGGUCCUGUCUUAUUUUGGGGGAAACACAGUAAUAUGUACAAAGGCUUUGAUAGAUGGGGUCAGUAUUUCUCAGGCUUCCCUAACCUGGGCAGCAUAACUUGAAUAUUACGGCCUUAAUCCAGCUGAAAUAGAAAGAAUCAUUGAAUCAGCGGACCUUACCCAAAUGUUAACUUUGGAAAGCUCCUAUUAUUUCAGUUCAUUUUCUCUCUGUCAUUUUCUCUAGUUGGGACCAACAGUUACAUUUACCUAGGUUUAUAUGGCUCUUCAAGGAAAUGCCUAUAUUUAUCAAAAACCCACAACAAAGUAGGAAGUCAUCUUUUGUUUCCUGUUCCAGUUCACAGUAUUCUUAGGUCACAAAAACAUUUAAAGGUCAUAUUCUUAUUGCAGCAGGUGGAUGAACCAGAGUUGUGCAAAAGCCUAUCAGAAAGAGAAUAUCUCAUUCUCUCUGUACCACCAUGUUGAUGACUUAAAAGUCUUUACAGAAGGCCCUUCUUUCCAUUUCUUUGCAGGAACUAGGUUUGCUCUCUGAUGGUGCCCCAUUUCCGGAAUGCUUUCUCCACUGAUUCUUGACUGGUGCUUCAGAAUGAGGUGCAACAUUUGCUUCAGCAAGUGAGAAGGCAUAACCCGAAAUGACCCAAGGCUAUCCACAGGUAGAAUUAGCUUAAACAUUUAUUCAAGUAACAACAGGGAUUAUGCUCCAGAAAAGGAUGGAACAAUGUAAAAGAAAUCAGAGGAAAAUCAAUGAAUUUCAGACAGAAUGCAAUAGAAUGAUUAAAUGAAUAAUGCAAAAUAGAACACAUUCAAAGUAUCAGAUAAAAGAUAGAAAAUGCAAAAUUAGUCACAGUUAGCCCUUUAUAUAGAUUUGGUUUUUGCAGGCAGAAGAUAAGAGGGAAAGAGACUGGGUUAUGCACAUUUUUUUUAAAGUUAAUACUCUGGCCAAAACAGCAGAUUAGGUGAGUCAUGUGAAAACCUUUUUAUCUUCUUCCACUAUUUCAUUUUUUUUUCUCUCAGGCAUAUUAUCUCAGGCUCUCUCGUUCUGGUACCUGCCUUUUGUUAAAUGCCCUAUAACAAGGAAUGCUUUAGAUUUAAUGCAUUGUACCUAAUUUUCUGAAAAGUUCACAAAUAUUCACUUGUUCUCUUAACAUGGGGCUGGCUCGAUUGAGCAAAAUGGGACAAUUAUUCAUGGAGGAAGAAGGGAAAGGAUUGAGAAUAUAUGUUUUUUAACCAGAUAGUUCAAGUUCUAGCUCUUGAUUUCAUCUCUCAGGUGGCAAUGCUGCCUUCUACUCACUGUAUUACAUGAGCACACACACUACAGGGGAAGAUAAAGAGUGUGUGAGAGAGAAACUAGAGCGAGGUUGUGGUCAAGAACAGUGAAUGUAGAAGACAAUGAAUUAGAGGUGAUGGACAGAAGAUGCUGAUGCAGUAAUAUGUUGGGAGGUGACGAGGGCAGAGGCGGAAAAUAAAUCUACCACUUCUUGGGCUGCUGGCA